GGCGCUGUGGCGUAGUGGGUAAAGCUGCUGCCUGCAGUGCAGCAUCCCAAAUGGGCACUGGUUCGAGUCCCGGCUGCUCCA
RNAcentral lists this transfer RNA (81 nucleotides) under Oryctolagus cuniculus (rabbit). It matches the Rfam family "tRNA". Rfam says of the family: Transfer RNA (tRNA) molecules are approximately 80 nucleotides in length. Their secondary structure includes four short double-helical elements and three loops (D, anti-codon, and T loops). The record is from Rfam by way of RNAcentral. Lineage: Eukaryota; Metazoa; Chordata; Mammalia; Lagomorpha; Leporidae.